Long non-coding RNA from Mytilus trossulus (common blue mussel), 1899 nucleotides. RefSeq lists it as uncharacterized. Lineage: Eukaryota; Metazoa; Mollusca; Bivalvia; Mytilida; Mytilidae. The record is from RefSeq and is a predicted model, not a curated record. The transcript has 4 exons.
ACCUUAAACAUCUGAUAUUUUUAUUAUCUAGAGCUCUGUAAAAAAAAUGUGAAAAUUAAAAUAAUAUGAAAACAAAAUUGUAAACAGAGUUCUAGAUAAUAAACGUUGAGGGUGGUAUAAAAAGUGGGCAUAUUUAAAAUUUCUUUUAAUUCAAUAAAUUUAUGAAUACAAUUCAGUUUUUGGGGAAUUUUUUGUGCUGAAUAGGUUUUUUCUUUCAAUAGUAUAUUAACUUGUUAUUUUGUCAAGCUGUAUAUUUUUUUUAUGUCAAAAAUGACUUAAAAAGUUGGAAUAUUAAAUUGGAAGUGCAAUUCUUUUAAUUUUAGUAAUUUGGAGACAACAUUUGUCUUCUCCAAAUAUUACACACUACCAUUGUCUAAAAAUUUUACUAGAAUUUUAUUUUGAAUGACUUUGUAUAAACCUAUAACCUUAAACAUUUGAUAUUUUACUAUCUAGAGCUCUGUAAAAAUAAAAUAAAAUAAAAAUAUGUGUAAAACAAUAAAGUAACUAAAUAAUAACAUGAAAACAAAAUUGUAAACAGAGUUCUAGAUAAUAACAUUGAGGGUGGUGUAAAAAGUUGGCAUAUUUUAAAUAUGUUUAUUAUUAUUUAUAGUGCAUUGUAUAAUUUGUAAAAUAUUUAUUGUGAAGUCUUGGAAAACUGAAACUUUAGAAAUGUGUUUAUUAAAGAUGUCUAUAUUCAAUCUUCAAUUAUGGUCAUGGCAAUGGAGGAUAAUAGAAUAUAUUGCUCUGUGAAGAAACAGACUUUUUAUAUCAAGAAAGAUCCAACAACAGUUGUCAAUGAUAUCUAAAGAGACAAAAGUCUGAGAAAUACUUAAAGCUCAAAAUGAAGUAUCCAGGAGAUUUCCAGCUCUUUAUUACAUACUCUGCUCACUGAUGUUCCUUAGUUGCAAUGAAGUAUCCAGAAGAUUUCCAGCUCUUCUUUACAUAUUCUGAUGUUUUCUCAAGAAAAACACAAGAUUUCAAUGUUCAACCUGAAAGUAGAAAUUCUUAAAAUUUAUGCUGGACAUCACAAUACUGGAUAUCUACAGAUAUAAGACUUGUGAAGAAUAUUCUGAUAAAUUAAUGAUGAAAGACAAAUUGUGCUACAAGCAUCAAACCAGCAAAAUAAAUUGAUGGAAGUAAAACAUAAGAGCAGGAUCUUACCUCAUACAAGUGAGAAGGAACGAUUGAACUGAUGAACUAAAAAACAUCUGAAUGGUGUACACAAGAAAACCAGACCACAUAGAAUACGGAAAAAGGAAGAUAGACUAAAGGGUAGAUGAAAUAAGAAAAAAAACUGAAAUUAACCAACAUACCAGCUGACUUACCACCUAGAGAUUAGAGCUGACUCAACUGAUGAACAUAUUCAACUGAUAGACAUAGUCAGCUGAUAGACAUAGUCAACUGAUAGACAUAGUCAACUGAUAGACAUAGAACACAGAACUUCAAACAUAUUAACAGCAUAGGAAAACAAGGAAUAUGUCAGAGACUAAUAUUCUUGUCAAUUAAAAUAUAUGACUGAAAUUUAAUAAUUGUAUAUGGUCGGCGGGAGAGAGAGAAAUAUGUAGAAUGGUCAAGAGGGGAAGAGGGAGAGGGAGAACACUUAUGUUGAUGAUAGAGGAGAGAAAUAUUGCAACUGGUUAAUUUGUCUUCAACCAAACACAUGGCUUGUGAUGAUGUAUCUAACUUUAGACAUCCUAUAUUUUUAUUAUCUACAGUUCUGUUAAAAAAAAAUAAAAAAUAUAAUAUGAAAACAAAAUUUAAACAGAAUUCUAAAUAAUAAUCAUUGAGGGUGGUGUAAAAAGUGGCCAUAUUUUAAAUUGUCUUUUUUUCACCAAUAUAUUUAUGAAAUUCAAAAGGAGAAUGUUUAAUUGGAUGUACAAUUCUUUUGAUUUUAGAUAU